UAGGGAAUCUUCGGCAAUGGGGGGAACCCUGACCGAGCAACGCCGCGUGAGUGAAGAAGGUUUUCGGAUCGUAAAGCUCUGUUGUUAAGGAAGAACGAGUGUGAGAAUGGAAAGUUCAUACUGUGACGGUACUUAACCAGAAAGGGACGGCUAACUACGUGCCAGCAGCCGCGGUAAUACGUAGGUACCGAGCGUUGUCCGGAUUUAUUGGGCGUAAAGCGAGCGCAGGCGGUUAGAUAAGUCUGAAGUUAAAGGCAGUGGCUCAACCAUUGUAGGCUUUGGAAACUUUGUAUCUUGAGUGCAGAAGGGGAGAGUGGAAUUACAUGUGUAGCGGUGAAAUGCGUAGAUAUAUGGAGGAACACCGGUGGCGAAAGCGGCUCUCUGGUCUGUAACUGACGCUGAGGCUCGAAAGCGUGGUGAGCGAACAGG
Molecule: ribosomal RNA, 429 nt
Filed under: Bacteroidota bacterium
Lineage: Bacteria; Pseudomonadati; Bacteroidota
Description: Bacteroidetes bacterium partial 16S ribosomal RNA
Rfam family: Bacterial small subunit ribosomal RNA
Source: RNAcentral